RNAcentral lists this ribosomal RNA (406 nucleotides) under Verrucomicrobiota bacterium. RNAcentral describes it as "Verrucomicrobia bacterium partial 16S ribosomal RNA". It matches the Rfam family "Bacterial small subunit ribosomal RNA", at positions 355 to 776 of the family's 1533-position model. Lineage: Bacteria; Pseudomonadati; Verrucomicrobiota. The record is from RNAcentral.
UGGGGAAUAUUGGGCAAUGGGCGAAAGCCUGACCCAGCAACGCCGCGUGAGUGAUGAAGGCCUUCGGGUUGUAAAACUCUUUGGACAGGGACGAAGAAAGUGACGGUACCUGUAGAACAAGCCACGGCUAACUACGUGCCAGCAGCCGCGGUAAUACGUAGGUGGCGAGCGUUAUCCGGAUUUACUGGGCGUAAAGGGCGUGUAGGCGGCUAGAUAAGUGUGAUGUUUAAAUCCAAGGCUUAACCUUGGGGUUCAUUACAAACUGUUUCGCUUGAGUGCUGGAGAGGAUAGUGGAAUUCCUAGUGUAGCGGUAAAAUGCGUGGAUAUUAGGAGGAGCACCGGUGGCGAAGGCGGCUAUCUGGACAGUAACUGACGCUGAGGCGCGAAAGCGUGGGGAGCGAACAGG